AAGACCGAUCUUGAUCAAGUGAGGGUGUUUCAGUUCCUUCCUGUGAGCUGAGGGAGAUUUCCUGCUGCGUUUUGCUGAAGUGAGCCUGUCCAGGGAGAGUCUUAUUUCCCUGAAUGCUUCACCCAGCACGGUAGCCUCUGAAAAGAAAUAGGGUGAAAGGAGAAGCAGCUCAUGCGCACCCCUUCAUCUCCAAGUCUCAUGUACCAUCUUUUGGCCAGCCUUGCACUUACCUCCUCCAGUCAUCCUGAGGGAGCAGAAUAUAGACAUUUGUGCUUUGCUGCAGGUCUCCACGUUAUUUCCUUUGGUCACCUCUGCAGAUGGACUGGAAAUGCUCCUUUUUUUGGCCAUUCUGCAUUCUUUCUGGUUCUGUGCCGUGAGGAUGCCAGCACUGCAGGGAUUUUCAACCCAUUUUUUUUCUGCCUUUUUGCUCUCUGCUGUGCUGUAUCACACACUUUUCUACAUUCACAGCCUGGUCCUAGUUCCUGACAUGGUGUCUGGUUUCAGAAAGAAGUCUUGAGCAGUUGCUGUAGUUGUGAAAUAUGGUUAGGAGAAAUGCUUUUGUUUACUCAGAGAUUUCAUGGGGACAUCUUGGUAUGUUCUGCAGCAUGCAGCACAGCUGAAACUGCCUUACGUCACCUAGCUAUGCAGCUUUGGGUUAAUUGUUGUUUCGGUUGUAAAAGAGAAGCCUGACUGACAGCUGUUUUUCUGACCACAUGCCUACAUUAUUUUUCCAAGAUAUAUAUAGAACUCUGACUUGCUGAGCAGAGGAAAAUGACUUUGUGCAAUUAAUGUGACAUGCUUAAUAAUGCUUGGAAGGGUGCAGGGAUCUGCAUUUAUCAACCUGCCAUGGCUAAAAAAAAAUCUGACAAUCAAUCCCAGUGCAAACACAGCACAUGUUUUUCUAAAACAAGGGACUGCACAAUGCCCAGUUGCUUUUGAGAUGAGACACUCUAUUUUUUCAAGAGAAACUUGUGUCAUGCCUGAAACUCACUUUACCCUUGGGUUAUACUUACAAAAUGACAAAUUCAAUUUACAUUUUUUUUUCUUUGGUAUCUUAGUUUUGUAAUUACUUUCCAAUUUAAACAGCUCAUUCCUUGAAUACAUGGUUUGGUUAUUAGCGCUGCAGUAGCACCUUGGUGAAAUCAGGUCCAACCAGCUAUCCACAUUUUUUCCAGUCAAUAAAUUAUUUUUAAAAGGUCAUUGUGACAUAAUUCAGAAGUUGUAGGCUCAAGUAAUUAGUAUACAAUAUGCAGCUUUCCACACCCAGUAUUUUUAUACAGCUGCAUCAGUAAUACUGUUGUCUGGGGAGGUUUUAAUUUGAAAAGGAGGGCAGUCCUGAGGGAUGUCUGCUUGAAGAUGAAACCUUAUUUAGCUUGAGAAGAAAAAGCAUCAGCCACAGCUCCAACCUCUCUUGGAUCAGGUGCUAGAAGAUGUUAGAAGAGAAGCCCAGCUCCCCUCCUUUCCUCAGCAGCAGUACUCAUUUUACUGUAGCUCUUGCUGCUGCUUACUGUAGCUAUUGGGACCUAUCCUGCAGUAUGCCCUUACCCCAAAGGUAGAAUAUACAAGCCGCAACAUUUUUUCAUCAGUAUAUAAACACCAGAUGCUUGGCUGGCUGCCCCUUGCAGGGGCAGGAAAACGCAGAAGUAAGAGGAGGUGGAGGAGAAGAAGGAGAGUUUAAGCUGCCUCCCAUGCCUUGUCCCAGUGAAUUGCCUGGUUUUAGUAUUAGGUGGAAAUUUACUUUCUGUGUUUUGGGCCUUGCUCCCUGCCUUACUUCCAAGGAGCAUCAGAGGAGGGGGCAGAAGGACAAGGAUGUGGGAGACAUUGACCAUUGAAGAGCGUAGCUGGGGAGAAGGGGAUGAAAAUGUUAAUUUAUUACUAAAGUGGGGAUGAAUUGUGUUUGAACCCGGACGUUAAAAGUACUAUAGCUUGUUUGUCUCCUGAGACAGCGACUAUCCCCAGUGCUGAGCUCACCACAGAAGCAUUGGAUUGGGAGACGCCAUACAGAUAUCUGCUGGAGGAUGUAGUUUUAUGCUUGGGGUCCUGCUAGAGUGUGUUGCAGGCUGCAUCUGACCCAUGUGCCUGCAUUCCCUUUCUAUGGAAACUACUAUAUAGUCUCUGUCUCAGCCCCAUGUGACAUUGGCAUGUGGCCAUGUCACCCCAGAGCUGAAAUAUACUCUGGACUGGUAAUACCCGUAUUGCAGAAGAGAUCAUCCAGGCCAUUAUGUACCCAGCAAAUGCAUUCAAUAAGUGUUUUGUCUGGAAAAGCAUUGAACAUCUAUCCCAUAUAUGUCACUCCAUCACUGCCCAAACAUAGAUCUAGGGUAAGAGGUCUUCUUUGCAUUUGUGCUUUUGCUUUCACAGUUUUGCUUUCUUAAUUUUACAUUUUGUAAUAUUAGAAAAUAAUACUUCCUGUCUGGCAUGCUGGAGCAAUGCAGAUAUUUUCACUGAGAAAGUGAAAUCCUACAUGGCAGAGGAAAAUCCAGUUGAAAUAUGUGGGAGUUGCCUGAAUAAGUACUGAAAGGUUUGGCCCUUGGGAUGGAAAUAGACCUUGGAGUUUUACCAAGGUGCUUCAGAGCUCCUUGUUCCCCUUGCUUUUCUCUUUCAAAUAUGAUGACUGGAGCUGUCUGGAUGCAGAACUCAUUUGAACUAAGAAUAAGUAUCUGUUAAAACAGGAUCUUCAUGCUCUGGUCUCUCAAAAAGUCUGCUCAGGCACUUAAAAAUAAAAACCAGCUACUUCACACUGUUUAGAGACAUUGAAGAAGAAAUAUAGAGCUCUUCAUGCACAUGAGAAUCAUAUUCAAACAGAUACAAUAAAAGUUAAUAGUGACUUCUAGUCAGGUUUUUCUUUGUAAGCCUACAAGUUCCCUGACAGCCUUGCAAUUAUGGAAAGAAAUAUUAAAACCAAAAA
This is a long non-coding RNA of Aquila chrysaetos chrysaetos, 2908 nucleotides long. RefSeq lists it as uncharacterized. The transcript has 2 exons. NCBI's taxonomy places the organism in Eukaryota, Metazoa, Chordata, Aves, Accipitriformes, Accipitridae. The record is from RefSeq and is a predicted model, not a curated record.